GAGCAGAAAGGGGAGGCAUUGUUAGCUGGAUUACGUACCAGACAGAGACAGUUAUAAAACACAGAGAGGGAGGGUUGAGCAACAAUCUAUGACAUCAUCGUAAAGAUAUGAGAAACAGGAAGUGGUUUCCAUGGAGGCUUGAAAAUCCCCACCAUGUGGGUGUAAAGCUAAACAGUCCCUUUUUCUUUAGCCAAACUAAACCACCGUAUCAAACUUUAUACAGUCACUAAAGUCUCUCUUAGGAGAAGUCGGGUCACUUGGGAUUAUCAAAGAAUCCUAUUUGUUUAUAUGGGGAGUCAUCUAUGUGUAAGAUUCGGACAUAUAAUUACUGUUUUAAUUUUAUAUUUAGGAACACUGAUGAACUUUAUACACCUUACAAUCUUUUCAUGGCACAGUGUUGUCACAGAAUACAACUUUUUUUCACUUGUGCUUGUACGUAUGUGCAAACCACUGUCUCAAAAAAAACACGGAGAUUGUGACAUUCAAAAGUCUGGUCUGGUUCAUGUCGUUGCCAUGGUUUCAACAAAAAAGUCAUGGUAUGCAUGUAGACCACAGGAAAGUACUGAGAGUACCAUGUUGUUACACUGUAAUUUCUUAAAAAAUGCUUUGAUGUGGGAGCUGUAAAAAAACUGACAGUAUUGAGGUGAACAGGCAGUCUCAUUGAGAUUAACAUCACUUUUCCAAGAGAGACCAAGAAUAUUCAAAAGAAUACAAACAACAAACAGAAUCAACACAAUAAACAAGGUAAUUAAUUUAAACAGUUACAAGUUACAUUGAAAAGUUCAGUAAGACUGUAGUUUGAGGGCAGUUUGCAGUUCAUUCCAUUUAACAGGUGCAUAGUACCUGAAACCAGUUCUGCCAACAUUAGUGCGUACAUGGGGGAUAUCUAAAGUUAGGUAGUUACUGGAUCAUGUACUGUGGCUACUAAAUUUAAAUGAGAGAAGAGAUGUGAGGUAGUUUGGAAGCUUCAGCAGUAGAGCUUUAUAGAUGAAUAACAAUGUAAUAAUGAGAUGGCUAUUUCUUCUUGACUUUAAGGAACUCCAUGCAACUGUGUGAUACAGAGAACAAUGAUGAGUACGAAAUCUGUCAUUUGUAAUAAGCGUAAAGCACUGUGAUACACAGGAUUUAACUGCUGAAGUGUUGAUGGGGCAGCAUGGCAAUAAAGUAUAUCUCCAUAGUGAAGGACAGACAUGAAGGUUGACAAUAGUCAUCAAACUAACAGAGGUAUAGAAAAAACUUGUCAAUGGGAUAACAAGACUAAAUCCUGGGACAGCUGUUUAAAGAAGGCUACCUCUGAAAUCCUCCACACAACUCGUUGGCUUGUGGUUGGUAUUUUCCACAUGGUCAACUACAGUGGACACAUUCAGUCCAUAGGCAUCAUGUUAAAAAUGACCUAUAUAAUCUACAGUGACAGUGAUAUAAGCCAGUUGUACUCUGCAGUCAACCAGGAGCAUUCUUUAGCCAGGGAUUUGGCUAAAUGCUAAACUGGGUGAAAGAGCAUGAAUUUAUGACCUUUCCUUCAUCUGAACUCUAAUCUCAAAUCAUGUGUGGCUACAGCACGUUUGCUCUGACACUACCAUGAAAAUGUAGUGCAUUUACAUGUACAUGUAGUUACUUAACACACUUUAGGGUUAUUCAGUGUGACCCUUCGAGACAUUUUGAAUGCACAACAACAACAAAAAAAAGGAAGUCAUGUUUGUCUACAGAUUAACAUAGGAAGUGAUAAAACAGCACAUCCUAUACUUUAGGUCACAUUUGUAGUGUGAGGUACUUCUGUACAUUAAAACAAGUUAAAAAAAUAUUGCAUUUAAGUUGCAAUUGCAUCUGAGUGAGCUUGAAAACUCUUAAACCAAAAGAUCUCGCACUUAAAUCCUCAAUAAAAUAAACAUGUAUGUCACUGCUGAGGCCAAUUUCAAUACGUAAUAUAUUUCUAAAAAGCCAAAGAAUGAAUUGGCAGCAUUGUGCUGGAAAGUCGGUAUCACAUUGUGAAGAUGGGGCCUCAGAAAAAAAGCAAAUAAAAUCUAUGAGGCAUCGGGGUGGUCUCUCUGCAUGGCAAAUAUAAAGCAUUCAAUGCACAAAGAGAGCUGUGCUGACAGUAUCUCUCUUUUAU
Molecule: long non-coding RNA, 2110 nt
Organism: Siniperca chuatsi (mandarin fish)
Lineage: Eukaryota; Metazoa; Chordata; Actinopteri; Centrarchiformes; Sinipercidae
Exons: 2
Source: RefSeq, a predicted model, not a curated record